Molecule: long non-coding RNA, 1218 nt
Filed under: Homo sapiens (human)
Lineage: Eukaryota; Metazoa; Chordata; Mammalia; Primates; Hominidae
Description: HSALNT0027324
Source: RNAcentral
CAUGGUUUUGCCUGGGAUGAGUCCUGCCUCUGUCACUUCCUACUAACUGUGCAGGUGCAGAACCCACCUAUUCAAACGGUCUAGAGACAGAGUGUGGGGCUGCGGCCCAGCCCUUGUUGAAAAUUUACAUCACUUGCAAAGCUCCAUUGUGAAAUACCGAAACAUCGAUGUGGAAGAAAGGAAGACAAAGCCCAGACUCUGAAUCAACUGAUGUGUGACUCCUUCAAUGGACGGAGGCCAGAAGGCAAGAAGACUCUGGAUAAGCAUGGGGAACACUGGCUCCUGGUCAGAGCCGCCCUGGGCAGAGGGCACAUCCAGUUGAUGAGGAUACCGCAGGGGGGCUGGGAGCCCAUGGGGCAGCAGCCGUGAGGGGCACGGACGCCUAGAAAGGUCGAUGGCUGCAGUGACCUAGCUGGUCCCCAGGGCACUGAGAUUCAUCUGAACAGCAGGUCCCAGUCAGUUGCUGACCAGGGGCCCGAAUCCUGGGCAUCCGCUCUGGGCACACCUCCUUGGCAUAUGUGGGGCAUCUUAUUUACCCAAAGCAGGUGUGUUCAUUUAGGACCACCUGCAUGUUCACAGGAGCACUCCCUGCAGGUGGCCUUUGGUAUUUCACCUGGAUAUCCGUCUGCUUGAGCUGCUGUAACCAAAUACCACAGACAGGCUGGGUGGCUUCAGCAACCGAGAUCUAUUUCUCACCAUUCUGGAGGCUGGAAGUCUGAGGUUGAGAUGCCGGUGGCUUCUGUUUCUGAUGAGGGCCCAUUUCCCGGCCUGCAGACGGCCACCUUCUCACUGUGUCCUCACAUGACAGAGAGGGACAGCCUGAGUCUCUCUUCCUCUUCUUAGAAGGACACUAGUCCCCUCGUGGGGGCCCCACCCUCAUGACUGCCCCUAAACCUAAUCACCCCCCAAAGGCCCCAUCUCCAAACAUCAUCACACUGGGGAUCAGGGCUUCCACAUGAACCCUGGGAGGCAGAGGCGGGCUCUGUGUUUUAGCCAGCCCCUGGGGGGCAGAAGAGGAGACCCUGACAGUGUGGACUCCCUGGGGUGGGAAGGAGUGGGCUGAGGACGGUGAAUGUAGACGGACUUCUGGGAAGUCUCUAAGAGAAAAGAAAGUGAGAGAUUGAUGGGGGUGGGCGCCGUGGGAUCAGGGGAAGGGUUUUGGGGUUUUGGUCUCAUAUUUGUUUUGAGGCAGGGAUGUGCGAGCUAGGCCUGGGGAGA